Molecule: ribosomal RNA, 658 nt
Filed under: uncultured bacterium
Lineage: Bacteria
Description: bacterial SSU rRNA
Rfam family: Bacterial small subunit ribosomal RNA
Source: RNAcentral
ACGCUGGCGGCGUGCUUAACACAUGCAAGUCGAACGGAGGACUAAGUGGAAGCUUGGCGAAUCCUAGUCCUUAGUGGCGGACGGGGUGAGUAACACGUUGGAUAACCUGGCCUGUAAGAACCGGGACAACACCUUGGAAACGGGUUGCUAAUACCGGGUAAGCUCUUUUUUGCCGCAUGGUGAGAAGAGGAGAGGGGAGACCCGCUUACAGAUGGAUCCGCGGCCCAUUAGCUAGUUUGGCGGUGUAACGGACCACCAAGGCGACGAUGGGUAGCCGGCCUGAGAGGAUGAUUCGGCCACACUCGGAACUGAGACACGGUCCAGACUCCUACGGGAGGGGCAGCAGUGGGGGGAAAUCUUUCCGCAAUGGGGGCGUAAAGCCCUGGAACGGGAAGCAACGCCCGCGUUGAAAUGGAUUGAAAGGGCCCUUUCGGGGUUCGUAAAAUUUUCUUGUUCUUUCAGGGGAAAGAAAAAAAAAAUGGACGAGUACCCUUGAAGGAGGGAAAGCCCCCGGGCUAAACUUACGUCGCCCAGCAGCCCGCGGUAAUAACGUAGAGGGGGCGAGCGUUUGUCCCGGGAAAUUUACUGGGGCGUAAAGGGGCGCGUUAGGCGGUUUUAUUUAAGUUCAGAAGGUGAAAAGCUCCCGGCUCAAACCGGG